UGGGGAAUAGCUCAGUGGUAGAGUGCAUGCCAAGCAUGCAUGAGGUCCUGGGUUCAAUCACCUGUAUCUCUA
Transfer RNA from Camelus ferus (Wild Bactrian camel), 72 nucleotides. It matches the Rfam family "tRNA". From Rfam's summary of the family: Transfer RNA (tRNA) molecules are approximately 80 nucleotides in length. Their secondary structure includes four short double-helical elements and three loops (D, anti-codon, and T loops). Lineage: Eukaryota; Metazoa; Chordata; Mammalia; Artiodactyla; Camelidae. The record is from Rfam.